Molecule: ribosomal RNA, 252 nt
Filed under: uncultured bacterium
Lineage: Bacteria
Description: partial 16S ribosomal RNA
Rfam family: Bacterial small subunit ribosomal RNA
Source: RNAcentral
UACGUAGGGUGCGAGCGUUAAUCGGAAUUACUGGGCGUAAAGCGUGCGUAGGCGGUUCGCUGUGUCCGAUGUGAAAGCCCCGGGCUUAACCUGGGAAUGGCAUUGGAAACUGGCGGGCUUGAGUGUGGCAGAGGGGGUGGAAUUCCGCGUGUAGCAGUGAAAUGCGUAGAGAUGCGGAGGAACACCGAUGGCGAAGGCAGCCCCCUGGGUUAACACUGACGCUCAGGCACGAAAGCGUGGGGAGCAAACAGG